GAUGAACGCUGGCGGCGUGCCUAACACAUGCAAGUCGAACGGAGUCCAGCCUUUAAGACCUUCGGGUCAAAGAGGGGAAGACUGAGUGGCGGACGGGUGAGUAACACGUGGGCAACCUGGCUCAUAGAGGGGGAUAACAGAGAGAAAUUUCUGCUAAUGCCGCAUAAGCACACACUGCCGCAUGGCAGAGGGUGAAAAGAGAAUCGCUAUGAGAUGGACCCGCGUCUGAUUAGCCAGUUGGCAGGGUAAGAGCCUACCAAAGCGACGAUCAGUAGCCGAUCUGAGAGGAUGAACGGCCACAUUGGGACUGAGACACGGCCCAAACUCCUACGGGAGGCAGCAGUGGGGGAUAUUGCACAAUGGGGGGAACCCUGAUGCAGCGACGCCGCGUGAGUGAAGAAGUAUUUCGGUAUGUAAAGCUCUAUCAGCAGGGAAGAUAAUGACAGUACCUGAAUAAGAAGCCCCGGCUAACUACGUG
This 478-nucleotide ribosomal RNA is filed under the name uncultured bacterium. RNAcentral's name for it is "partial 16S ribosomal RNA". It matches the Rfam family "Bacterial small subunit ribosomal RNA", at positions 28 to 507 of the family's 1533-position model. The record is from RNAcentral.